CUCCUACGGGAGGCAGCAGUGGGGAAUAUUGCGCAAUGGGGGAAACCCUGACGCAGCAACGCCGUGUGAGCGAGGAAGGGUUUCGGCUCGUAAAGCUCUGUCAGAUGGGAAGAACGGCUAUUGGUCUAAUAGGCCAGUAGAUUGACGGUACCAUCAGAGGAAGUACCGGCUAACUUCGUGCCAGCAGCCGCGGUAAUACGAAGGGUGCAAGCGUUGUUCGGAUUUAUUGGGCGUAAAGCGCGCGCAGGCGGAUGGACAAGUCAGAUGUGAAAUCUCGGGGCUCAACCUCGAAACUGCGUCUGAAACUGUUUAUCUAGAGUCUCGGAGAGGAAAGUGGAAUUUCGCAUGUAGGGGUAAAAUCCGUAGAGAUGCGAAGGAACACCAGUGGCGAAGGCGACUUUCUGGACGAGUACUGACGCUGAGGCGCGAAAGCGUGGGGAGCAAACAGGAUUAGAUACCCUGGUAGUCCACGCCGUAAACGAUGUGCACUAGGUUUGGGAGGUAUGAUCCCUUCCGAUCCAAAGCUAACGCAUUAAGUGCACCGCCUGGGGAGUACGGCCGCAAGGCUAAAACUCAAAGGAAUUGACGG
This 589-nucleotide ribosomal RNA is filed under the name uncultured bacterium. RNAcentral describes it as "bacterial SSU rRNA". It matches the Rfam family "Bacterial small subunit ribosomal RNA", at positions 336 to 916 of the family's 1533-position model. The record is from RNAcentral.